CUCGAAAUCCCUUCGCUGAGGGAAACGACGCGCAAAAUGGGUAUCUGACGCUUUUGGACACUUGAGCAUCUGCUACAUCUCUGAGAGAUUGCGCAUAGCGACAGAAUGCCCCCAUAACCUCUGCUGCAACGAGGAGCAAGAUAAGUGAAGAGAAAUAGAAGAAGCCAUAAAUCUGACUUCAGCAGGUUCGAAAAUAAGUGCUCCCCGCAGCGAACUGCGAUGAGGCUCGCUUCACUUCCGCACAAGAGGGAAAGGCUGUAGACGAAAAGGACUGAGGGA
RNAcentral lists this small RNA (279 nucleotides) under Histoplasma ohiense. RNAcentral describes it as "hypothetical lncRNA". The record is from RNAcentral. Lineage: Eukaryota; Fungi; Ascomycota; Eurotiomycetes; Onygenales; Ajellomycetaceae.